This 467-nucleotide ribosomal RNA is filed under the name uncultured bacterium. RNAcentral describes it as "partial 16S ribosomal RNA". It matches the Rfam family "Bacterial small subunit ribosomal RNA", at positions 28 to 507 of the family's 1533-position model. The record is from RNAcentral.
GAUGAACGCUGACAGAAUGCUUAACACAUGCAAGUCAACUUGAAUUUGGGUUUUUAACUUAGGUUUGGGUGGCGGACGGGUGAGUAACGCGUAAAGAACUUGCCUCACAGCUAGGGACAACAUUUGGAAACGAAUGCUAAUACCUAAUAUUAUGAUAAUAGGGCAUCCUAUAAUUAUGAAAGCUAUAAGCGCUGUGAGAGAGCGUUGCGUCCCAUUAGCUAGUUGGAGAGGUAACGGCUCACCAAGGCGAUGAUGGGUAGCCGGCCUGAGAGGGUGAUCGGCCACAAGGGGACUGAGACACGGCCCUUACUCCUACGGGAGGCAGCAGUGGGGAAUAGUGGACAAUGGACCGAGAGUCUGAUCCAGCAAUUCUGUGUGCACGAUGAAGUUUUUCGGAAUGUAAAGUGCUUUCAGUUGGGAAGAAACAAAUGACGGUACCAACAGAAGAAGUGACGGCUAAAUACGUG